This 321-nucleotide ribosomal RNA is filed under the name Triticum aestivum (bread wheat). RNAcentral's name for it is "partial small subunit ribosomal RNA". Lineage: Eukaryota; Viridiplantae; Streptophyta; Magnoliopsida; Poales; Poaceae. The record is from RNAcentral.
AUGCCGGAGGGGGUUAAUAAUACAACUAUUGUGCUCAUUCCCAAGGUGAAGAAUCCUCAGUCAAUUAAAGAUUUUCGGCCAAUUAGUCUAUUCAAUGUCAUAUAUAAAAUUAUAUCCAAGUGUCUUGUUAACAGACUGAGGCCGCUGUUGGAUGGUAUGAUCUCUCCUACCCAAAGUGCCUUCAUUCCUGGAAGAUUAAUUUCUGAUAAUGCUCUUAUAGCUUUUCAGUGUAUGCAUUCUUUGAAUACGCAAAAAGAUGGCAGGGGUGAAUUUUGUGCGUACAAAUUGGAUUUAACUAAGGCUUAUGAUCGUGUGGACUGA